UGGGCACACGUGCUAGCCGGGAUGGU
This 26-nucleotide non-coding RNA is filed under the name Homo sapiens (human). Lineage: Eukaryota; Metazoa; Chordata; Mammalia; Primates; Hominidae. The record is from RNAcentral.